Molecule: unclassified non-coding RNA, 4676 nt
Filed under: Hevea brasiliensis (rubber tree)
Lineage: Eukaryota; Viridiplantae; Streptophyta; Magnoliopsida; Malpighiales; Euphorbiaceae
Source: RNAcentral
AGAAAUUGUGUAAAUUUCAUGAAGAUUAAGAUUCUUUUAAUGAUUUAACAAUUGAUAUAACGGACCACAAAAUAUUUUAUGCUUGGUCAUUUGACAGAUCAUAAAUAUAUCAUUAUAUCAACAAAAUGCACAAACUAUUACAUACUGAUACUGAACAUAGUCUCCAACAACUGGUGUCCAUCCAAAGUUUCUUGAGGUGGCUUUGCAAGUUAGGACUUAGGAAACAAAAACAAAUCAUAUUUCUAAACUCCUCCAUAAAUUUGACAAUGAAAAAGUUUGGGACUGCCUUACAAUGUUGCAGACCUUAUAACCAUUCUUCCAUGAAAUCAACCUACAGUGAACACCAGACAGCCUCAUGGAACUAUAUCUCAAGACUAGGAUAUGGCCUUUAAUGUGUAAAACAGAAUCGCAACUCAUUUACCAACGCUCCCUUGGCCGGCCAUCAGGAAAUGCAGGAACUAGCAUUUUCUCUUCAUUCUUUGCCGAGUUAUUUAACUUGUUCACUGAUCUGUUCACAUGAAUCUUCACAUUUUCAUCAUCUUCAUCAAAGCCUGGGGGUGUAUCAUCUUCAUCACUCCAAUCAUCUUCAUAGUCACCACCACCUUCGUCAUCAUCAAGUCCAUCGCCAGUCAUAUAACUGUCAAUAUCAGACCAAUCUUCACCCUCCUCACUAGACGCUUCUUCUUGCUCUUCAUUUCUAUUUUCAAUUUCACCAUCCUUCGGAGCACCAUGCCUUGGGAAUCUGGGGACAGCAACAAGAGAACGAAGCUUCUCUUUGAUAAGCAACGAACGGUCUUUGUCUACCAACUGAGAAUUGUGGUAUGCUUCCCUCAGGAAAACUGAAUCUCUAUCACCUUUCAAGGACACAUAAAACAUAUCAGGGUGCCUUAUUAGCAUCCCUCUCACCUGCUGAGAGAAUCUAAACUCCUCACGAAAAUGAGUAAGGUGAUCCACCAGGGUCCUCUUCUCGACAGUGAGACUCAAAAUCUCAUGAACAACCCCACAAGCAUGCUUUUCCUUCUCUGGUGUACCUGAUCUCAAAUGGGAAAAGUCAGAAUAUGGGGAUAUAAAAGGCAUGUCUCUGAACUUACAGAUCCUUCUCAUUUCACUCUUAGAAAGCUGGAGACCCUUAGGCAGCUUCACUCUAUUGAAUUUUGGUGGUCUAUCAAUGAUUAGAUCUUUCUCUUCUAGCUCUCUAGCCCUAUUCUCCUCUUCUGAUAAUUCAGCAGCUGAUACUGCAAGCUCAGGAUCCCAAUGAGUUAAUUCUAGAGCAGGCCCCCGCUCAGUUGCAACAACUCUAAAAUAUUGUGGGUAUCUAUGACAGAUUGUGUCACGAAAUUCUAGAGGCAAUCCAAGAUCAGUCCUUAAAUGGGCUAUUUUCUCCAACAAAAUCCGUUUUUCCAAUGACAUCAUCAACAAUUUCCUCAACUUAACAACCAGCAAAUCCUCCAUCUCAUUUCUGACCUUCAACUCCUCCAGGUAGAGUCUUUCUGCCUCAGGUGUCAAUUUGAAUUGCAAUGAAAAGACCCCUUCUUCCACAAUUUCAAACACAGCGGGGAAUUUUUUCAACAAAGCAAUAAAUCGACGCCUUUUCUGAAGACCCAGUUCUCUUCUGUACCUACCCAAUUGCCUAAGCGACAUAGUUCUAUCAGGUUGAUUGACCAGAAUCUUCCUUAUCUUCAAUACUAAUUUAAGUUUCUUAUCCCUUUGAAUCACGUUAUCAAAGGGAAGCUCUUUUCGUCUCUUCACAACAGCUCUUACCGGUUCAAAUGGAGAAUGAGUUUUCCUCAAGGUACUUCCAAAAGGACCAUUUUUCUCUUGAAAAACCAAACUUUUUCCCAAAAACUGCGAUUUCUCUAGCUGGAAUGUUGAGGUGGAGAAAUGGGAUUUAAAAUAGAGUUUGGGUUUUUCAAGAAAAUUAGAUUUAUAUGAGAGAAAGAAUGGUAAAGAAGUAGAUGGUGAGCCAUUGGACGAGGAAACAAAUAAUUUGGGUUCCAUGUUCAAGCUCUGAGUAUUGGAUAAGGAUUGUAUUUUGAAGUAGAAUAAUACAGGCAAUAUCAAUUAAUAAAACGUAACAAAGUAGUAAGAGAAUUAAAGAGAAGGAAGAAGAAGAGGAACAGUUACCUUCUUUGAAGUGGAUGCUGAAGCUUGUAGUAGGGUUUUGGGUGCGCGACCAGAAUCUGGGUUUAUCCGCACUGGCCAAAGCCCUUUGCUAGAUAUUUUGCUCGUGCCAUUUUUAUUAUCUUCCUAAUUUAGACGCCAUUAGGAAACACAAGGUAGAACGGUCAUAUUCAUUAUUUAAUGCAUGAAACGACAACGUUUAAAACUUCAUCCUUCUGCUUCCUCACAAGACCUGCUAGAAGCGGCUUGCCGUUUCGACCGUUUCGAUGAAAUCCCAGUUUACCCAUCUCCCUACUCAGUCACUCUCAGACUUGGCACUCGUCUACUGCUGUUUCUCACUCAAUUGGUUUUCUUCAUCGCCAUCGUUGUGAAGUUGUUGACUCGGAGGCAGUAAAAAUGGGAAGAGGCGAGACCGUCGAGUCGUGCAGAGUUCGGAUCGCCGUCAAGCCGUGGCGAUAAGUCCACUCAAGUGGACCAUUUCAGCAAGUCAGCAGCUUCGGAUCGCAAGCUCAUCACCAUUUUCGUCUCCUUCUUCAUCGUAAUUCCCGCCGUAUCCGUACUGGUAUACUGUAUCAAAUAUGUUCCAAAUACGUACAGAACGGAAUCACAUGCACACCAAGAAGGGCGUGUUAAAACUGAUUUGAAUUACCAAGAAAUCCUCAGUAAGAAUUCAAAGGUUUCAAAUAAUGCAUCUCACCGGCAGUAUACAUAUCCAGUACUAGCAUACAUUACUCCCUGGAAUUCUAAAGGGUAUGAAAUGGCAAAGAGGUUCACGAACAAGUUUACGCAUUUAUCGCCUGUCUGGUAUGAUCUGAGGAGCCAAGGCACCGACUUAACACUGCAAGGGAGGCAUAAUGCUGAUAAAGGAUGGAUCUCAGAGCUUAGAAUUAAAGGAGAUGCUCUGGUAAUUAAAAAGGCUAUGUAACCCAUUUUCUCUUCUUUGCUUUGGUAAGUAAAAAAGAAUGUGGCUUUGGUAAGUGGAUGAAGGAAAUGUAGUUGGCUAGUUUGCUUAUCAUUGGUGUGAAUGGACAUUGUCUUUGGUAAUACGGAAUUAGAGCAUUUUUAGAGCCAAAAGAUGAUUUUUCUUUUUUUGGUGUUAUAAAUUACAUUGGUUGGGCUACUCUAGAAACUAUUACGUUCCAACUGGUUGGAAUUUGUUGUCAAUACUUAAAACUUGGCCUGCUUAAUGUUUUUGCCCAAUUUCAUUAUUGAUCUUGUAUAAACCUGCAUGGAUCUCUUAUAAUGUUAAGUAAGCCUUUUGGUUGUAGGUGUUACCUAGAGUUGUUUUGGAAGCAUUUCCAAAAGAGAUGCUUAUGAAGAAGAAACUGAGGGAUAAAGCUAUUGAGCUUAUAGUAUCAGAGUGCAAGGAAAUGGAAUAUGAUGGAAUUGUGCUCGAGUCCUGGUCAAGGUGGGCAGCUUAUGGCAUCUUGCGUGAUCCAGAUACGAGGAAUAAGGCCCUGAAGUUUAUAAAACAACUUGGGCAUGCACUGCACUCUGUGAGCUCAGCAAGGAGCAGUAAGCAACCUUUACAGUUGGUCUACGUUAUAGGGCCACCACAUUCAGAGAAGCUUCAAGUGCAUGACUUUGGCCCAGAGGAUCUUCAGAGCUUGAAUGAUGCUGUAGAUGGUUUCUCACUCAUGACCUAUGACUUCUCAAGUCCUCAUAAUCCUGGUCCAAAUGCACCUUUGAAGUGGAUCCGUUUCACCCUGCAGCUGCUCCUUGGCACCACUGGCAGUGAUGCCUGGACCCAAGCCCAUAAAAUAUUUCUUGGCAUCAAUUUUUACGGAAAUGAUUUUCUCCUUUCUGAAGGUAUAUUAUUUUGCAUUUGUUUUAUUUGUUGUGCUAAUUAAUAUUCUGGGGUUGACUUCAAUAAGUUUGGAGAAGGGACCAGUAGGGCCAUUUAACCGGUGGCCAAAUCCUGGUUCUUUUUCCCUUUCUUUUCAACUUAGCAGGUUUAUGCUUUUUGUAUGGUCUAAUCAAUGUUGUGAGAUGGCUGGAGGGGAUUCAAGUUAGGAUAGCAGAAUGCCAUAGAUUUUAGGACAACCAAUAUGGGAAAUUGGUCUUGAGAAUCUAAUGAUAAAUUAUAGUCUGUAGAUCUUAAAAUUUCAAUCUUGAUCUUGAUUAUUUUCCAAGUAAAAUAUGUAUAGUGUCAUAUUGAGCUUGUGACUGAUUUCCAGUUAGGACUUAGGAGAGUGGCAUUUGGAGGACAUUUUUAAGUCAGUGUACACUUUCAGGUUCUGGUGGGGGAGCUAUUAUUGGGAGAGAUUACCUCUCUUUAUUGGAGAAGCACAAGCCUGACUUGCGAUGGGAGGAGGGCAGUGCAGAGCAUUUUUUCCUCUAUGUUGAUGAUGAAAAUAAAAAUCAUGCGGUGUUCUACCCAUCUUUAACAUCAGUUUCUCUACGACUAGAGGAAGCUCGAAUAUGGGGAACGGGCAUCUCGAUCUGGGAAAUUGGGCAAGGUUUGGAUUGCUUUUUUGAUCUUUUGUGAGAAGCAAGUUUUGUUGUUUUUGUUAUUAAAAAAGAUCUUUAUAGGAUGUACCGUUCAUCUCCAACUG